This 693-nucleotide ribosomal RNA is filed under the name uncultured Bacilli bacterium. RNAcentral's name for it is "bacterial SSU rRNA". It matches the Rfam family "Bacterial small subunit ribosomal RNA", at positions 52 to 718 of the family's 1533-position model. The record is from RNAcentral. Lineage: Bacteria; Bacillati; Bacillota; Bacilli.
AGCGAGCUUGCCUAGAUGAAUUUGGUGCUUGCACCAGAUGAAACUAGAUACAAGCGAGCGGCGGACGGGUGAGUAACACGUGGGUAACCUGCCCAAGAGACUGGGAUAACACCUGGAAACAGAUGCUAAUACCGGAUAACAACACUAGACGCAUGUCUAGAGUUUAAAAGAUGGUUCUGCUAUCACUCUUGGAUGGACCUGCGGUGCAUUAGCUAGUUGGUAAGGUAACGGCUUACCAAGGCAAUGAUGCAUAGCCGAGUUGAGAGACUGAUCGGCCACAUUGGGACUGAGACACGGCCCAAACUCCUACGGGAGGCAGCAGUAGGGAAUCUUCCACAAUGGACGCAAGUCUGAUGGAGCAACGCCGCGUGAGUGAAGAAGGGUUUCGGCUCGUAAAGCUCUGUUGGUAGUGAAGAAAGAUAGAGGUAGUAACUGGCCUUUAUUUGACGGUAAUUACUUAGAAAGUCACGGCUAACUACGUGCCAGCAGCCGCGGUAAUACGUAGGUGGCAAGCGUUGUCCGGAUUUAUUGGGCGUAAAGCGAGUGCAGGCGGUUCAAUAAGUCUGAUGUGAAAGCCUUCGGCUCAACCGGAGAAUUGCAUCAGAAACUGUUGAACUUGAGUGCAGAAGAGGAGAGUGGAACUCCAUGUGUAGCGGUGGAAUGCGUAGAUAUAUGGAAGAACACCAGUGGCGA